RNAcentral lists this ribosomal RNA (423 nucleotides) under Triticum aestivum (bread wheat). RNAcentral describes it as "partial small subunit ribosomal RNA". Lineage: Eukaryota; Viridiplantae; Streptophyta; Magnoliopsida; Poales; Poaceae. The record is from RNAcentral.
AUGGGGCCUGAGAUGCCUUCUGACUUAAGGUCCAGCUCAAUCACACGACAAGGGGACACCGUGCUGCAAGUGAUCCCAUGCCAGUCGCAAACGUCCAAGGACGUGUUCCUCCAUGAAGCUAAAACUCCUGCUGGACCCGAGAUCCUGGACUUGAAGCAGAGGAGAGCUUGCCUAUCAUUUUCAGUUUCAUUGCAGGUGGAUAGUGGCAGGCUGCAAAGGAAGCAGAAGAGGUAUAGAAACCAAACAAAGCCUGGAAGCAAGACACCCGAAGAUGCCAUUUUUGUUGUUCACAGGCUACAGCUAUGGAGUAUGGUGAUGAAAGCUUUCAUUUGCAGACGGAUGUUUAAGUACUCAGCUGUUGAGUGUGUCAGUAGCCAACCGCUCAAAAUAGCACACAUAUUCGCGGCUCAGUGGUCAAUAUGA